GGCUCUAUGGUCUAGUGGUAUGAUUCCUGCUUUGGGUGACAGCAUCUGAAGUGCAGGAGGCCCCGCGUUCGAAUCGCGGUGGAGCCC
Venturia effusa is the source of this 87-nucleotide non-coding RNA. The record is from the annotation of a GenBank genome assembly. NCBI's taxonomy places the organism in Eukaryota, Fungi, Ascomycota, Dothideomycetes, Venturiales, Venturiaceae.